This 805-nucleotide small RNA is filed under the name Pongo abelii (Sumatran orangutan). RNAcentral describes it as "retained intron". Lineage: Eukaryota; Metazoa; Chordata; Mammalia; Primates; Hominidae. The record is from RNAcentral.
CGGUAUCUGCAUGGGCACGCCCGGGGGAAAGGCCUCACCCAAUGGGACCGUUCGCCGAGGCCUUCAUUAGCAUGCCGGGGGCGGGGAGGGGCGGGGCGGCCGGCGGGGGCGGGCUGCGGGCGGUUGGUUGGAGCGUCGCGCAGUCGGGAGGUCCGGGAAAGUUUCUUUGGAGGUCCGGCCCGGAGCGGCCAUGUCCCACGGCCCCAAGCAGCCCGGCGCGGCCGCCGCGCCGGCGGGCGGCAAGGCUCCGGGCCAGCAUGGGGGCUUCGUGGUGACUGUCAAGCAAGAGCGCGGCGAGGGUCCACGCGCCGGCGAGAAGGGGUCCCACGAGGAGGAGGUGAGUCCCUGCGCUGAGCUGGGGGAGGCCCCGGGCUCCCGCCCCAGCCUUGAAGCCCCGCCCCAGGCUGGAUUUGAAUUGCUUGUGGCUCCGCCCACAGCCCAGAUUUUCCUCCGGAAGCUGAGACCCCGCCCCGUGCGAGCUGCCACGCCCCUGACAGGUCCUCUGCCACUCUAAGUCCAGGCCCCGCCCACCACACAAUGCCAGCUCUGCCCACUAUAAGGUCCCGCCCACUUCCACUCCUUGGGGGCGGCACCCUCCCCUUGGUCCUGUGGGCCGGUUCUCCAGCAAAAACCACGCCCACCAGGCAGAGGCCACGCCCACAACCGAAGUCAACACCACCCCUGUGCUCAAACCUCGGCCUAUAGUUCCUCAGAUCCCCUCACCCCUGGCCAGGGAUCCCUCAAACCCACCGUGUCCUGACUGCUGACCGGGCCCUACCUCCAUCUUUUCCGGGUUCUUCCUCCC